ACAGGGAUUGCCCUAGUAACGGCGAGUGAAGCGGCAACAGCUCAAAUUUGAAAUCUGGCUCUUUCAGGGUCCGAGUUGUAAUUUGCAGAGGGCGCUUUGGCUUUGGCAGCGGUCCAAGUUCCUUGGAACAGGACGUCACAGAGGGUGAGAAUCCCGUACGUGGUCGCUAGCUAUUGCCGUGUAAAGCCCCUUCGACGAGUCGAGUUGUUUGGGAAUGCAGCUCUAAAUGGGAGGUAAAUUUCUUCUAAAGCUAAAUACUGGCCAGAGACCGAUAGCGCACAAGUAGAGUGAUCGAAAGAUGAAAAGCACUUUGGAAAGAGAGUCAAACAGCACGUGAAAUUGUUGAAAGGGAAGCGCUUGCAGCCAGACUUGCUUGCAGUUGCUCAUCCGGACUUUUGUCCGGUGCACUCUUCUGCAGGCAGGCCAGCAUCAGUUUGGGCGGUGGGAUAAAGGUCUCUGUCACGUACCUCUCUUCGGGGAGGCCUUAUAGGGGAGACGACAUACCACCAGCCUGGACUGAGGUCCGCGCAUUUGCUAGGAUGCUGGCGUAAUGGCUGUAAGCGGCCCGUCUUGAAACACGGACCAAGGAGUCUAACAUCUAUGCGAGUGUUUGGGUGUCAAGCCCGAACGCGUAAUGAAAGUGAACGGAGGUGGGAACCCGCAAGGGUGCACCAUCGACCGAUCCUGAUGUCUUCGGAAGGAUUUGAGUAAGAGCAUGGCUGUUGGGACCCGAAAGAUGGUGAACUAUGCUUGAAUAGGGUGAAGCCAGAGGAAACUCUGGUGGAGGCUCGCAGCGGUUCUGACGUGCAAAUCGAUCGUCAAAUUUGGGCAUAGGGGCGAAAGACUAAUCGAACUAUCUAGUAGCUGGU
Molecule: ribosomal RNA, 869 nt
Filed under: Pyrenophora leucospermi
Lineage: Eukaryota; Fungi; Ascomycota; Dothideomycetes; Pleosporales; Pleosporaceae
Description: eukaryotic LSU rRNA
Rfam family: Eukaryotic large subunit ribosomal RNA
Source: RNAcentral